AGCGAACGCUGGCGGCAGGCUUAACACAUGCAAGUCGAGCGGGCAUCUUCGGAUGUCAGCGGCAGACGGGUGAGUAACACGUGGGAACGUACCCUUCGGUUCGGAACAACUCUGGGAAACUGGAGCUAAUACCGGAUACGCCCUUAUGGGGAAAGGUUUACUGCCGAAGGAUCGGCCCGCGUCUGAUUAGCUAGUUGGUGGGGUAACGGCCUACCAAGGCGACGAUCAGUAGCUGGUCUGAGAGGAUGAUCAGCCACACUGGGACUGAGACACGGCCCAGACUCCUACGGGAGGCAGCAGUGGGGAAUAUUGGACAAUGGGCGCAAGCCUGAUCCAGCCAUGCCGCGUGAGUGAUGAAGGCCUUAGGGUUGUAAAGCUCUUUUGUCCGGGACGAUAAUGACGGUACCGGAAGAAUAAGCCCCGGCUAACUUCGUGC
This 436-nucleotide ribosomal RNA is filed under the name uncultured bacterium. RNAcentral describes it as "partial 16S ribosomal RNA". It matches the Rfam family "Bacterial small subunit ribosomal RNA", at positions 29 to 508 of the family's 1533-position model. The record is from RNAcentral.